CCUACGGGUGACAGCAGUGAGGAAUAUUGGUCAAUGGACGAGAGUCUGAUCCAGCCAAGUAGCGUGAAGGAUGACUGCCCUAUGGGUUGUAAACUUCUUUUAUAUGGGAAUAAAAUGUUCCACGUGUGGGACUUUGUAUGUACCAUAUGAAUUAGGAUCGGCUAACUUCGUGCCAGCCGCCGCGGUAAUACGGAGGGUCCGAGCGUUAUCCGGAUUUAUUGGGUUUAAAGGGAGCGUAGGUGGAUUGUUAAGUCAGUUGUGAAAGUUUGCGGCUCAACCGUAAAAUUGCAGUUGAAACUGGCAGUCUUGAGUGCAGUAGAGGUGGGCGGAACUCGAGGUGUAGCGGUGAAAUGCUUAGAUAUCACGAAGAACUCCGAUGGCGAAGGCAGCUCACUGGACUGCAACUGACACUGAGGCUCGAAAGUGUGGGUAUCAAACAGGAUUAGAUACCCCAGUAGUC
Molecule: ribosomal RNA, 460 nt
Filed under: uncultured bacterium
Lineage: Bacteria
Description: partial 16S ribosomal RNA
Rfam family: Bacterial small subunit ribosomal RNA
Source: RNAcentral